Molecule: ribosomal RNA, 480 nt
Filed under: uncultured bacterium
Lineage: Bacteria
Description: bacterial SSU rRNA
Rfam family: Bacterial small subunit ribosomal RNA
Source: RNAcentral
UUGAACGCUGGCGGCAUGCCUAACACAUGCAAGUCGCACGCGAAAGAGGGGCAACCCUUGAGUAGAGUGGCGGACGGGUGAGUAACGCGUAGGAAUCUACCUGGUAGUGGGGGACAACCCGGUGAAAACCGGGCUAAUACCGCAUACGAUCCACGGAUGAAAGCAGGGGACCGCAAGGCCUUGCGCUAUCAGAUGAGCCUGCGUCGGAUUAGCUAGUUGGUGAGGUAAUGGCUCACCAAGGCAACGAUCCGUAACUGGUUUGAGAGAACGACCAGUCACACUGGGACUGAGACACGGCCCAGACUCCUACGGGAGGCAGCAGUGGGGAAUAUUGGACAAUGGGGGCAACCCUGAUCCAGCAAUGCCGCGUGUGUGAAGAAGGCCUUCGGGUUGUAAAGCACUUUCGGUGGGGAAAAACGUGGCGAGGCCAAUACCCUCGUCCUUGAUGGUACCCAAAGAAGAAGCACCGGCUAACUCUGU